This 619-nucleotide ribosomal RNA is filed under the name uncultured bacterium. Its description in RNAcentral is "bacterial SSU rRNA". It matches the Rfam family "Bacterial small subunit ribosomal RNA", at positions 9 to 627 of the family's 1533-position model. The record is from RNAcentral.
GAGUUUGAUCCUGGCUCAGGAUGAACGCUGGCGGCGUGCCUAACACAUGCAAGUCGAACGAAGCGCCCGCGCGGAUUCCCUCGGGAUGAAGCGCGGAUGACUGAGUGGCGGACGGGUGAGUCACGCGUGGGCAACCUGCCCCGUGCCGGGGGACAACAGCCGGAAACGGCUGCUAAUACCGCAUAAUCCGUGAGGGCCACAUGGCCUUCCCGGGAAAGCUCCGGCGGCACGGGAUGGGCCCGCGUCUGAUUAGUUUGUUGGCGGGGUAACGGCCCACCAAGACUGCGAUCAGCAGCCGGCCUGAGAGGGCGGCCGGCCACAUUGGGACUGAGACACGGCCCAGACUCCUGCGGGAGGCAGCAGUGGGGAAUAUUGCACAAUGGGGGAAACCCUGAUGCAGCGACGCCGCGUGGGCGACGAAGCGCUCCGGCGCGUAAAGCCCUGUCAGCAGGGAAGAAAAAAGACAGUACCUGACCAAGAAGCCCCGGCUAACUACGUGCCAGCAGCCGCGGUAAUACGUAGGGGGCAAGCGUUAUCCGGAUUCACUGGGCGUAAAGGGAGCGCAGGCGGCACGGCAAGUCUGGUGUGAAAGCCCGGGGCCCAACCCCGGGACUGCAUU